Molecule: long non-coding RNA, 374 nt
Organism: Salvia splendens (bonfire salvia)
Lineage: Eukaryota; Viridiplantae; Streptophyta; Magnoliopsida; Lamiales; Lamiaceae
Exons: 2
Source: RefSeq, a predicted model, not a curated record
GGAAGAGAAAUUUCUGCACCUAAAAUGGAUAGCAUUCUUCAUUCAACUUCAACCCAACCAGGUUUCCUUGGUACCCAAAGAUGUCAAGACUUUCUCCAUGGGGUAAAAAUCGAGGAGGAUGGAAGACAGAAGGAGAAGAGAGAAUCUUGUUCCAAGCAUGCCUGCAUUUCCAUUAUUAUUUCUAGCUUGAAGCCAAGUCUUAGGUCUUGAGACCCUUAGGGUAGUAGUAGCUCUUGAAGCCAAUUCUUAUUUACAUUAUUCAUUCUUCUACCAUACAAAGAUGUAUGUACUUAAAUAUUGUAUUCUCAAUUACAUCCCUUGUACCUCUAUUUCUGCAUGCAUUUCCACAUUUCUCUAAUAAAAUAUUUUCUCCA